CUGAAAUUAGAUUCAGUAACUUGAAAAAAUCUUGACUCUAGUCAAAAGCUGACUGGUUCAACUGUGGUUUCCAAAGCACUGAUAAUGGUGAGGCCUGUAGGGGAAACUGAUGACACAGCAAAAAAGCAGCAAUGAGUGCUCAUACAGCAUCUGGUAUGCAAUCACAUGCCAUGGCCCUCUUGUCUUCUCUUUCCCUGCACGCACUCAGAGAUAGAAAGAAAGAGAGAUUGAGAUGGAAGAGGCAGAGAAAGAAAGAGUGGAAUCAGACAAGAAGAAAGUGAUGAAAAUGGACACAAGGUUUUGGUGGAUGCUGAGAAGUUAGGAGCAGCCUUACUGUUCCUAGAAAAGCUACUUGUUGCUUGCUCCCUGGUGCUUGUCCAACUGCUGAUACCGCCGUCAGCAGCAGUGAAACGAGGGAAGAAAAGUGUUUUCUUUUCAUUCCUUUUAAUAAAAAAGAUGCUGGUUUUUAUGUUUUUCCUAAUUUUUUUUCUCCCUUUUAGCACUUGCUUAUUUGCUCAAAUAAAGUCAGGACGGUGCCUCCAGUGCCAUAGCUAUCUGCAAUUAUUUGAUUGGACUGGCGAUGGUUGAUGUGCUCAACAUAGGCCACUCUUAUUUUGGUUGCAAGUCCCAUUCAUCUUUUAAGCCAUCCAAUUGAUGAUAAGAUGCAAGGAGAGAGGAAACAACACUGACAAAUGGGACCUCAGUUGAUGAGUGAAUGAUUGAGGUUUUUUAUGCAAGUUUCUGUUGUCUAGGGUGGGUGGAGGAAAGAAUCCAACUAUCGUUAUGCUAAUUGGAGAUGUCCAUUGUUACUCUCUGUAUGGAAUAUGCCUCCAUUUUCGUUCAUCUUUGACAAUAACCAAAAACAGCAACUUCUAUGUUGCAUUUUAUUGUCACUUUAUUAUAAUUUGUAUUCAAUUUACCAAAAUUGCUGCGUAUUCAGUAAUGCUUUUACUCUUAAGCUUGAGGAUACAUUAAUUGUCUGUGAAUAUGAUUAGUUAAUGCAUAUUGCUGCACUGAUGUCUUGAUUUUCACAUUGUCUGUGUUGUGUGCAGAGAUGCUCAUCUCUGGCCAUGCUGUGCUUGGCCAUAGUUUACCAUUCUGAGGGACGGCCAUGUUGUAAGGCGAAACAGAAGGAGGACAAAGAAAGGACCAGAGCGGAGUUUUCUCAGGUACACAUCGGGACAAAGACUAUAUUCAUUGCAUUAUAAUUCAAGAGUUUCCCGUAAUGCUUAUCCAAAACUAGGGCUCAUGGUCAUCAAUUGUAGGAGAUAUGAAGUAAAGACAGUCUUUUCGGAAGUAUACUAAG
Zingiber officinale is the source of this 1306-nucleotide long non-coding RNA. RefSeq lists it as uncharacterized. The transcript has 3 exons. The record is from RefSeq and is a predicted model, not a curated record. NCBI's taxonomy places the organism in Eukaryota, Viridiplantae, Streptophyta, Magnoliopsida, Zingiberales, Zingiberaceae.